Molecule: non-coding RNA, 7331 nt
Organism: Monodelphis domestica (gray short-tailed opossum)
Lineage: Eukaryota; Metazoa; Chordata; Mammalia; Didelphimorphia; Didelphidae
Source: RefSeq, a predicted model, not a curated record
CUGAAGGAAGAAGGAGCCCUACCAGACCUCAUCAAAAGGGUCUGGUCUGGUCCGGGCAGUAGGGUGGCUCCGUGGAGAGAGCCAGGCCUGGAGAGGGGGUCCUGGGUUCCAGUGUGCCUUCAGAGCCUUCCCAGCUGGGUGAGCCUGGGCAAGUCACUUAAACCCUCUACCCCUUCUGCCUUGGAACCAACACCCAGUAUUGAGUCUAAGAUGGAAGGGAAGGGUUUAACAAAGAACAACAACCCGUCUGGUCCCAGCUAAGCAAUAGAGCAGGGGGCCAGUGCAGUACCGUAGGUCCAAGCACAGCCGUACAUGGCUGUCGUCAGCCAGUGUUGGGCAAGCCCAGAGAGCCCCUGCUUGGCAGAAACUCCUGGGAAAGCCAAGAAACGGCUAGAGCAGCAUCUCGCCGCACAGCGCGUGCCAAGGCACGGUGACAUCGGGCUCCCGACUCCACGGGAUGUAAAUGGAUCAUUUUGAGUAAGCCCAGGGUCUUCCACAGAGCCCUGUGGCCAAGGUGACAAGGAAGCAGGGAGGGCAGGUCAACGGAUAGGAAUAUGGACAAAUGGGCAAAGGAUAGGAAUAGCCAGUAAACUCCAAGUCACUCUAGAUUAGAGAAAUGCAAAUGAAAACAACUCCUUGAGGAAGUGCCUCCUCAGAAGGAGGCACUGAUACAUCGUUGGUGGAGUUGUAAAGUGGCCCAGCUGUCCAAAGGGCCCUAAAGGUCUGGCUGGGGGGAGACCCGUUUGUUUGUACACAAGCACUGCCCGCAGCUCUUCGUGGUAAUGGAGGGCACAGGAUGGUGCGGGCUAUUUCUGGGCCAGUUUUAGAAAACCCUGGAAAGAGCUGCGGGACCUGAUGCGGAGAGGAGUGAGCAACAAGGUGGUGCUGAAGGACUUUGAGGGAGAACGGUGGCAAUUUGAGACUGCAGAAGCUCCUUUUCCAACUUGUCUCUUUUUCUUUCUGCUCCCCCCUUGCUUGCCCCACGCUCAUCUGGACGGAGGGUUGGCGUGACUGCGCCACUCUAACCUGGGUCAAAUGGCCGGCCUUGGCAAGGAAGGGGGAGUGGGAGGAGGGAGAGAGAACAUUUAGAAUUCCAAAGUGUAAAGAAAAGGGUUACCACGUAAUUGAGGGGACAGAAACUAAACAAGAAAAAAAAAGAAAACCCUCAUCUAAACAACCAGAAAGAUUUGGCCUCCCACGGGCUGCCCAGCCUGGCAAUUGCCAGGGUUAAAGGGGUUCCCAGUGACCACAAAGAGAAUUGUGAAGUGUGCACAUGGGGGGCACUAAGAGCAGCCCUUGGGGGGGCACCCCCGGGGGCGAGGCCCCGUUUUCAUUUGCUCACCUUUGGGGAUUUGUGGAUGUACUCGGAGGCAUUCAAAUCAGCUGCUCUUAGCCACCCCUCCGCACGCUGUGCUUGUAAGGGGCUUCCUGGCCACCCCACUCUCGGUGGAAUUUCCUGGUGCUCCUAGUGUCUCUGAGGGAAACUGAGGCUGGCCCCUCGCUGCUGCGGAGGAUGUUUUCUCUACUAUAACCCGCCAGCGGCGGUUAUAAAAAGAAUUUUCCUUUGUGGGUUGGGGCUCGAGAAGGAGAGACACGCAGGCGUGAUCCCUGCCAGAAGUGAGAUAGAAAGCGCGGGCCGAGGGAGGCCUUAGGAAAGGGAGACUGGUGAGAACUAGAGGACCACUUUAUUGGCGAUUGCCAGGCUCAAUGGAUCCCUAGAUAAUUCCCAUUGGACGGGAAGGUGCUGGUGACACCUGGGCGCUUUCACAAAGGAAUUUGGCUCGCUCAAGAGUCGGCCCACAAGCAUCCGGGUUCAAACCUGUGUCUGAUGACCCGAUGACCGCCCGCCAACACGCUGGGGUGCUGCAUCUCCUUUGGCGCUUUCAGAGGACAGGCCCGACGUGGCUUCCUGGGACCUCUUAGCAACAUGGGGAUCCAGAAGGCACUUCUUCCUAACCUGUGGCUGCACCAGGAUGUCCUGGGGCCGCAGACAUUCCCUGGCUGUGUGACCCUACCCAAGUCACUUCACCUCCCUUGGCCUCCGGUUCUUCAGCUGGUAAGAGCCUCUUCCGUCUCGGGAGGAACCGGAUGAGAGGAGUCUUGGAGGAAGUGGGGAGGGAGCGGCAGGGCGGAGGGUCCCCAGCACAAGCCCCAGGCUGAGGCCAGAGCCUGCGGGAAGGGAAGGGCAGCCCCAGCUCCCUCAGCCACAAAGGGGAGUUAUUCUGGUGGAGGCGGCAGAGCGACCUUCACCUUCCCUCUUGGAAGCAAUGCUAGGUGUCCCAGGUUCCCAGGCAGAAGAGCCAGCCGGCAGGGCUGGGCAAUGGCAGUUCAGUGACUUGCCCAGGGUCACCCCGCCAGGAAGUGUCUGAGGCCAGAUUGGCCGAGUUCAAAUGGGGCACAGACACUUCCUGGGCACCCCGGCCUCCUGGGCCCUCCCCCUCCCCGGAGCCUGUGGGAAGCACUGGGGCUUUGCUGGGGGCGGGGCCGGGCCGCAGUGCGGGCAGAGGCUGGGCCCCGCCCCCAGCGGAGGAGCGAGGCUGCGGGCGAAACUGACCAGGGAGGGCGGAGGAUGGGCCAGCUGGGCUGCCGGGCCCUGUGCCUCGGCCUGCUCGACUACAAGACGGAGAAGUACGUCGUGGUCAAGAACAAGAAGGUGGGGCUCCUCUACCGGCUCCUGCAGCUCGCCAUCCUGCUCUACCUGCUGGGGUGAGUCCGCCGGGCUGCUGCCGCUGCUCCCCGCCCCCUCUGCCGGCGUCCCCCUCCCCCCAGCAUUGUUGACAGGAGCCCUUGCUCGUCCAGCGCCUGCCCUCCCCCGCUGGGGCUCUCCCUCCUCCUCCCUGCACAUUGGAGGAGGGGCGCUGAGCUGGGGGCGGGGCCUGCUGCAGCCCACUGAACCGCACUACUCUGCAGUGUGUGAGGGGCUGCUCGGUCGGGAGGGCAGCAGCAGGGGACCCGAUGGCUGGCCCUGGCCUCCGCCCCAAGAGUUCCUGAGCCCCCUCUGCUGUGCCUCAGCUAGGUGGGGAGAACGGAAAGGCCUGAAUUCGAAUCCUGCCUCAGAUUGCUCCUCUGCCUUGUAGGGUUGGUCUCAGGGUCAGAUUUAGAAAGUGUUUUGCUAACUCUUCUUACUGUGGCUGCCCCCCACCCCUACUUGCCCUGCUGCAGCACCCGCCCCCUCUUGAUCCCGGUGGCGGGAGGGCUCUGAGAGCAGAGCAGUCAGUUCUUGGCCUGGAAGUCGGCCAUCCAUCUGCUCCCACGUGCCUCCCUCCUGCCAUCUUGGAAUCUCAGAAUGAAUGGUGCCCAGGGGCUCCGGGCCUCCAAACACCCGCCUGCAGAGACAGGGAGCUCAUUACCUACACAGUGGUGGUGAUGAAAUCCGGACUUCGUGCCUUUUGGGAUAGGAUUGGGUGACUGCGGCUCUGUGGAUGGAGGCAGAGCCUGGUGGGGGCACCUUUCCUGAAGAGUGGGGGGGGGGGUGUCCACCCUGCUGGAGCAGAUUCCAGUCUCUACCAAGAGCCCAACUGACAAAUGGUGGCACGUGGACUCGAGCCAGAGGCUUUCCAGACCUCACGAAUGAUGUUCCCUCUCCAUGAAUGUGUACUCGGGGAAGAUUCUUGGGUUCGAAUCUUCCUGCCAAGGGUUCUUUCUGAAAGCUAAUUAAGUCAGGUUGAGGGGAGACAAACAUCCCCUUAGGCAAAAAGCUGGGGGGUGGAAGUGGGGGCAUGAGACAAGCCAGGCCCAGCCUGAUCAGGGUCACCACUACAGCCGGGCCUCAGAGCAGAGGCCAGGCAGUGCCCAGGGCCUUGGGCCUGGCAUUGCAGGCGAGUUUGAGGCUGGCACAGAUCGGCGGCAGGCCACCGUAGAUUGCCCCUCUGGGUGCCAAAGCACCACAAGCCCAGAGGAGGGCUCAGAAUAGCCUGCAAGGUGGUCCAGCAGAGUUCCUGACCAAAUGGGGAAGUCAAGGCAGGCUUGCCAAGCAAAGUUCUGUUUGAUUCCUGGAAGCACUCACUUCCCACCAAUGAAGCAGCCAAAACCUCUGACCUGGGGGUGCGUCCAAGAAUGGCACAAAGGCGACGCCAAUAGCUCGGGCGUUAGGAGCGCCCCGGAUUUGGGGAAUCGGAGGUUGGUUAUGUUGAAGAUCCUGAAUGCUGUGAGAAUCUCUGGGGUCCUGUGGCACCCUGAGGCCAAGUCACUGGGGGCGCCUGGGCAUGAGCUGAGGCACCUCAGGAUCCACCAGGGUCAACUGCAUUCAACCACAGAGGAGGCUGAACUUUGGAAUCUGUGAGCCAGGGGGCUGGCUUGGUCCUGCCCACUGAGAAAAACCCAGGCCUCAAGCAUAAAGGAGCGAUUGCUCCCUCCCCCCCUCCCUUUGUCCCUUCUCUUUCUUCCCCCCCCUCACCUUCUGCCUUAGAAUCAGCAUUGGUUCCAAGGCAGAAGAGCGGUAAGGGCUUGGCAAUGGGGAUUAAGGGACUUGUUCAGGGGCACACAGCUGGGAAGUGGCUGAGGCCAGAUUUGAACCCAGGACCUCCCUUCUCUAGGCCUGGCUCUCCAUUCACUGAGCCACCCAGCCACCCCCCAAAAGAUGAUUUCUUAAAAGGGAAAGUACAGACCUGUCAAGUUAUUUGCAGAUCACAGAACAGGAUAAGAGAGCUGAGGUUGGAAAAUGGACAUGGUGGUAUCAGGAGUAUUUUGUCUGACCUGUUAGGUGAAAUGCAGAAUGUGGUUCCAGAGUACAAUCCUGUGCAGAGGGGAGUAUUCUGAAUAGAACACCAGAAUCAAAGCUGAUAAGCCGAGUCAAUUCCUACUUCUUCUAGCAACACCCUUGGGGCCAGCUGACUUUGAAGCGAGUUCGAGGGCAAAGGGCCAUGCCACAAGCAGUUAUAGGACAACAUCGAUUACUUGUAAAUGGGAUCCAGGGGACAGGAUCAAUUGUCAGCUGCUGAAAACCACAGGCAGUGAGCUUGGCUUUGAUUCUUGCAGAAUUCUGAGCAUAGUCACGGACGUGGGGCUUCAUCUGGAACGGGCUGUGCCCUGCUAACCUCACAGCCUUCUGGGACAGGAUUAGUAACCUGCACCCUGUGGGAAGGCCAAAGCUAAGCACUCCGAAAGGUCGCUCACACUCUCCCUGUGGCCCCUCUGGAGUGAGUGAUGGUGCCCAGGCAAUAGCACAUUUUGGUGACUUUCAAGCUGCUCCAAGGGCUCAAGGCAAUAUCAGCUGCUGGCUGCUGGGCUCCCUGGGAUGGGAAUGCUGAAGAAUAAACAGCCUGAGGCUAGGCAAGGGCCAGCGAGGCUCCCUUUAUUAUGACAAAGAGGCAAACAUGAUGAGAUUAGAUCCGUCUGGCUAUUGUGCAACAGGACAGAAAGGCUUUUUGCUGAGGGAGGGCUGGCACCAGAGGUCUGGAUCUUCCCCAGAGACAGAACAAACACCCUCCUUGAAUAUGUCCCAGAUGCCGGCCCAGCUCAGCUUGGGGCUCCUUUUUCCUUGGGUCAGACCUAACAUCUCUGAUGCCAUCCGUCAGCCAGUUGGGAAGGAAGUCUCUUCCGAGGCUCCGGACUUAACUCAAGGCUGGUUCAUAGACACUCUGGUGGCCUGCUGCUGGACCUCGCAUCUGACACCAAGGGGGGGGCGGGGACAGAAUGGAGAAUGGAGGCAGGAGCCCAGAAGAUGGCAAUGGGCUUUGGGCUGGAUUGAGUAAGGCUUCAAGGUAGGCCCCCUCCUUGGGCCUCAGCAGUCACCUGGUCAAAGAGGAACCCCUCAGAAAAAGAUCUGGGGGUCUUAGCGGACUCCUGGCCACUAGUGUGGAUCUAGCCCUCACAAGUAUGAUGGUAUCUGAUCCUCAGAGCGGUGCUGUAAGGUAGGUGCUCUAAAUGUCACCUUUGACAGAGGAGGAAACUGAGGCAGACAGAGGGCCUUGAGCCAGCUGUACACCAGAGCCCCGGGCAGGGGUCAGGAAAGGGCGGGUGAGCCGAAGGGCGCCCAGGGCCUUGCUCUGCGCCUCCGAGGGGGAGGGGCAGGAAGCCAUCCGGAGUCGUGCUGGCCGCAGGUGGGUGUUCCUGGAGAAGAAAGGCUACCAGGUGGUGGACGCCGCGGUGCAGAGCUCCGUCAUCACCAAGGUCAAGGGCGUCGCGUUCACCAACACUUCGGAGCUGAGGGAGAAGAUCUGGGAUGAGGCAGAUUACGUCAUGCCCUCCCAGCCUGAUCGUGACUCCGAGGCAGCGGCAGACCACAUGUGCUGAGAGCCCCCACGUCCCCCACGCCGUGUGCUCCCAGGACAGCGACUGCCCCCGAGGAGAAGCUGUUCUUGGAGGGCACGGAGUGAGGACCGGCCGCUGCGUGAGAGCGGGCAGCAAGGGCAGGGGCACCUGUGAGAUCUCCGCCUGGUGCCCAGUGGAGGGGCGGCGCCGCCCUGAAAAGCUGCUUCUGGAGAAGGCCGCAGACUUCACCGUCUACAUCAAGAACUCCAUCCGCUUCCCCCAGUUCAACUUCUCCAAGGCGCUGGCCAGUCAGGAGGGGAACUCGCUCGGGCCUUUCCCAAGUCUCCGCUGCCCUGCUGUCGCCCGCAGAUCCAACGUGCGGGACACCAAAGACAAGUCCUUCCUCAAGUCCUGCCACUUCGGCCCCCACAACCACUACUGCCCCAUCUUCCGGCUGGGCAGCCUGGUCCAUGCUGCGGGCCACGACUUUCGGGAAAUGGCCCUGGAGGGCGGGGUGAUAGGGAUCCGGAUCGAGUGGGACUGUGACCUGGACCAGGCGCCCUCGGCCUGCAGGCCCCGGUACUCCUUCAGCCGCCUGGACGGGGCGAGGGCGGCGGCCUCGGGAUACAACUUCCGAUACGCCAAGUACUACCAAGAUGCUGACGGGGUGGAGUUCCGCACCCUCACGAAGGUCUACGGCAUCCGCUUCGACGUGCUGGUGUCCGGCAAGGCCGGGAAGUUCAGCAUCGUCCCGACGUUGGUCAACGUGGGCUCUGGCGUGGCCCUGAUGAGGGCCGUGAGUAGCCGCGCUCUUCCUCUCCCACGCGCCCACCCGUCUGACCUCCCCCUCCCCAGGCCAGGCCCCCAGCCCCAAGUCCUGAGGGCCGGGAGCAGCUUCCUCCCCUGGGCGCCCCUCUCGCCGGCCUCGGGGAUCCCCCCAGAGCCCCCCGUGACCGGCGGGCUGUUUUCCAGGUCGUUUUCUUCUGUGACUUAGUGCUCAUCUACCUGAUCAAAAAAAGCCACUUCUACCGGGAGAAGAAGUACGAGGACGUGGGGCCGACCUCGAGAAGGCUCCUGGCGGAGGAGCGGGCCUCGGCCUCUGGGCGGGGGCUGCCGGAGACCGCAGCGGGGCCUCCCUC